RNAcentral lists this ribosomal RNA (253 nucleotides) under uncultured bacterium. RNAcentral describes it as "partial 16S ribosomal RNA". It matches the Rfam family "Bacterial small subunit ribosomal RNA", at positions 524 to 776 of the family's 1533-position model. The record is from RNAcentral.
GACGGAGGGUGCUAGCGUUGUUCGGAAUGACUGGGCGUAAAGGGCGCGUAGGCGGCCGCUUGCGUCGGAUGUGAAAGCCCGGGGCUCAACCCCGGAACGGCAUCCGAUACGGGGCGGCUCGAGACCGAGAGAGGUGAGUGGAAUACCCAGUGUAGAGGUGAAAUUCGUAGAUAUCGGGAGGAACACCAGUGGCGAAGGCGAGUCUCUGGGAUGAUGCUGACGCUGAUGCGCGAAAGCCAGGGGAGCAAACGGG